UUUGGUUUAGUUUAGUGGCGGACGGGUGAGUAACGCGUGGGUAACCUGCCCUAUACAGGGGGAUAACAGUUGGAAACGACUGUUAAUACCGCAUAAGCGCACAGGAGCGCAUGCUCCGGUGUGAAAAACUCCGGUGGUAUAGGAUGGACCCGCGUCUGAUUAGCUGGUUGGCGGGGUAACGGCCCACCAAGGCGACGAUCAGUAGCCGGCCUGAGAGGGUGAACGGCCACAUUGGGACUGAGACACGGCCCAAACUCCUACGGGAGGCAGCAG
This 273-nucleotide ribosomal RNA is filed under the name uncultured bacterium. RNAcentral describes it as "partial 16S ribosomal RNA". It matches the Rfam family "Bacterial small subunit ribosomal RNA", at positions 81 to 354 of the family's 1533-position model. The record is from RNAcentral.